UUGCUGUGAUGAUUUCCAUUGGGUUUCGCAUGUCGCUGACUAUCAGUGAUGCCUCUUCUCUUGGCUGUCUGAGCAA
Small nucleolar RNA from Lutra lutra (Eurasian river otter), 76 nucleotides. RefSeq annotates it as small nucleolar RNA SNORD53/SNORD92. The transcript has a single exon. The record is from RefSeq and is a predicted model, not a curated record. NCBI's taxonomy places the organism in Eukaryota, Metazoa, Chordata, Mammalia, Carnivora, Mustelidae.